CGCGUAGGCGGCCAUUCAAGUCGGGGGUGAAAGCCCAGGGCUCAACCCUGGAAUUGCCUUCGAUACUGUUUGGCUAGAGACCGGAAGAGGUAAGUGGAACUGCGAGUGUAGAGGUGAAAUUCGUAGAUAUUCGCAAGAACACCAGUGGCGAAGGCGGCUUACUGGUCCGGUUCUGACGCUGAGGCGCGAAAGCGUGGGGAAGCAAACA
RNAcentral lists this ribosomal RNA (208 nucleotides) under uncultured bacterium. RNAcentral's name for it is "partial 16S ribosomal RNA". It matches the Rfam family "Bacterial small subunit ribosomal RNA", at positions 568 to 774 of the family's 1533-position model. The record is from RNAcentral.